This 281-nucleotide ribosomal RNA is filed under the name uncultured Desulfovibrio sp. Its description in RNAcentral is "partial 16S ribosomal RNA". It matches the Rfam family "Bacterial small subunit ribosomal RNA", at positions 1100 to 1382 of the family's 1533-position model. Lineage: Bacteria; Pseudomonadati; Thermodesulfobacteriota; Desulfovibrionia; Desulfovibrionales; Desulfovibrionaceae. The record is from RNAcentral.
AACCCUCGCCUUAGUUGCCAGCAUUCAGUUGGGCACUCUAGAGGGGACUGCCGGUGUCAAACCGGAGGAAGGUGGGGAUGACGUCAAGUCCUCAUGGCCUUUAUGUCUAGGGCUACACACGUACUACAAUGGCCGGUACAAAGGGCAGCCACUCAGCGAUGAGGCGCUAAUCCCAUAAAGCCGGUCUCAGUCCGGAUCGCAGUCUGCAACUCGACUGCGUGAAGUUGGAAUCGCUAGUAAUCGUAGAUCAGCAUGCUACGGUGAAUACGUUCCCGGGCCUU